This 24929-nucleotide long non-coding RNA is filed under the name Pelobates cultripes (western spadefoot toad). The stretch from base 9548 to 9633 matches the Rfam family "mir-365 microRNA precursor family". The record is from RNAcentral. Lineage: Eukaryota; Metazoa; Chordata; Amphibia; Anura; Pelobatidae.
GCAGACUUCUGGUUAUUAGAUGAGGGGGAGUGAAUGGGGGGCAGAUUAAAACAGAAAAAAAAAAUAGCCCUGGAAACCUAGCAUUGCUGGAUCAAUGGGGAGAAGCAAUAAUGAGGACUUGGCUGCAGCCUCCCCAGUUGGUGUGGCAGGGCUGGCUCCUGACCUGGAUCAGGGGGUGUGGGUGGUGGUUGCCCUGCUGGUUGUGUCAUUUAACACGUGGGACCUGCCUGGAGAAACUUUCUAAGAUCUGCCUGACUGUCACUCUAAUGACCCAGUGAUUAUCUGCCCCACUGCUGGGGGGAGGACACCUCCAACUGCCCCUCUGGCUGGGCACCCAGGAUAAGUACCCUGAUUUAAAGGGGCAUUCUCCAGCCACCAGGCAGAAGGUAAUGUUACAUUGUAUCAGGGAGAUUGGUGAUACUUUGCACUGAUCUUAUUAGUAAUGAGUGUGAAAUUGAUGGGGAAAAAAGCCAUUAUUUCAGUAAAAUAAUUUUUCUUCUUUUUUUUAGUAGGUAAAUACAUGUCUUGUUACUGGAGUGAGGGGUAAGAGGUUUUAGAAGGUGCACUAAUUAGGGGUAGCAGGGAUUGGUGCGGAGGUACAUUUGGGGUGCUCACAAACUAUCACGUCCAUUAAUAUCAAACGGAAUAAAAUGAAGCUUAACUUUUUUUUUCUUUUUUUUUAAGAUGCAAAAACUGGGGUCAUUUUAACUCUUUAUCUGGUUAGUUUAACUGUUUCAGGAAAAUACUUUUCAUGUUUGCAUGGAUAAUUUUAUCUAUAUAAUAUUUUCUCUAUAAAUGUAUGUAAACCAUACUUUGACAGAAUACAUGUCGGUACUCCCCUCGCCUGUAUAUUGUGAUUUUAUAAGUAAUCUUGGACUCUGCUAGUCCCAUAAAAAAAAAAAAAACCUCUUCUAUGCAUACUGCACUCUUCACCGAUCUGUGAAUUGCGUUAAUGGAAAAUGUAUAUUUUUGCUAAAUCUUACUUGCUCUUUUUCCAUCCCGUCCCCCACUUGGCUUCAGUUCAGACUUGAAUGUUUCGGUUUAAGUUUUGCAAAUUCACUGUUAAAGUCGGUGUUUAGCGAAUAAUCCCUGGCCUGUAUAUAUUACACCCCAUUCACGCAAUAGGACUUCAUACACUUUGCAGAUUAUUUCGGAGAAUAGCCCGUUUUAUUCCAUAAUUGGGCCAACUCGAAAGUUUUUAUCCAGGUAAGUUAUGGUGCCUUAAAAUUUGCUUAAUUUCCAGUUUAAGAAUCAACCACGUGAUGGGCAUGGACACAAAUCCGGGUUGUUAACUAAAGACGUGACUUCAAAGUAUAUGUCAAAUUUAAGGCCAAACUGAAUAGAGAUUAUAUUGUCUUUGAAUUUAUGUAGUUCGGCUAUUUUAUCGUAAAUUUUAAAACAUACUUUGAAUUCCUGACAGUUCUUACUUUCGUGGAUAUCCCGAUCAUAUUUGCAGACGAGAGACAGAUUUGAUAUCUCUCUGAUCGCAGAAUAGACAUUCAUUUUGCAUUCUACACAAGCUAUAAGAAAGUCUUUGGAUUGCAAUUGUCCGGUUGGACAGACCUUGGGCUGGUUAUAUUGCGAAUUACGAACCUGUUAUAGUAACCUCUACCAUUCUUCUUUGGACAACCUUAUGAUCACAUCGCAGACGGAGAGAGUUUAGGACUGGGUCUUUGCGGGCGAGAUGUAGUUAAAUCCCAACUGGCCUACGAAGUCCCAGUUCUUGGCUCUCGAGGGCUCCGUACACAGUCAGCAAGAACCAGGCCUCAGAUUACAACAGCUGGGUGUUCAAUUUGUGUGUGUUUUUCCUUUUAACAUAUACCUCUUCUACAGUGAGUUGCAAUUAUUGGUUUUGUAAUCUACCUUAAUGAUCUGUCCCAGUUAAGUGAAAACGCUUUUUAAUAAGUAGUCUUGCUAAACGCCCCUUUGAGACCAGAAGUGCAUUUUUGUCUUGUACUCUCUCAGUUUAACAGUCAAUUAGUGAUUGCAAAAACUCAUUCUGUGUUUGAAGCAUAAUUUGGGCCUUGUGUAGAUUUCAGAGGUCUCUGGUUUACGUAGAACUUGUGGAUCCUGUGAGGUGUAUCCACUACAUCGGGAAUUGGGGAGAAAUGACUAGAGAACUGCAGAUUUUAGGCAAAAUAUCGUCGCUAGAAAAUGUAUAGUUAAUUUAGAUGAACUAUUGCCAUUCUCGUGUCCAUUUCCACUCCCUGUUUGUUCUGGGAAUAAAAUGGAGCUAGUCAAUGUCUGAAAGGUAUAGUGAUGCUUAUUGGGUUCGUUUGGCUAUUGGGCUUAAUCGAUUAGAAUUCGAACUAUAGAAAACUGAAGUAAAAAAUAGCUGAUACAGAACGUUCAGCUGUAUUGACAGCUUGGCUAAGUUAGGCAAAAAAAAAAAAUCAGUUUUAUUUGUGUGCUAUAAUUCAAUGUUUAGUGAAUAAGCCUCUUUAUAGACUAGGUACAAUGAAAAUUUUUAUGUGUGUAUAUAAUAUAGAGAGAAAAUAUAUUUUUUAUAUGGGGUUUUGUUACAAACUAACGUAAACCAAGUUUGGAUAAAAAAAAUCAGUCAGUUAAUUAGAAAUUCAUGCACACUUCAAAAUUUCCAAUUGUUUAUAUUUUAACUAUUUCAGUAUUAAACUUAUUCUCUAAACCUGAAUUGAUCGGAAAAUUGUAGGUUUUAGGCCGGAAUAACUAAACCGGAGAACAUUUUUUAAAUUUGGCUGGUUUGGCCUUUAAAUAUGAAAUCUUAUUUUUAGUUCUCCGCAGUUUACGAUUUCCAGAACAACCUCAUCUGGUCUGUUUUGGUUUUUAUUCCAAGUCCGUACUUUUUGCAAACACUUCUUGCGAAAUUUUAAGUCAUCUAUUUAUUUGUAAAAAUUUUUUUUUACUCUAAAGCUCUUUUAUUGGAUCAGUUUGACGCGACACUCUGUCCAUGUACAUGCAAUAGUUAUGAUCUUUCCAAAUCCGCCAGUUUACCAGCCCAUGGGGAAUUAUGUGUCCUAACUACAUUGCUGCCUGAUUGCGUACUUGGGGGUGUAUUCAAUAAGCAGUGAAUUGUGAACGGAGCUGCAACGUUUAGGCAAUUAAUGCUGAUUUUAGAAAAAAUUCUCCAAAUUGCCGAUUACUCUGGGUAGAAUUAGACAACUUGAUUUCAAUCCAUUGUCAUUUUUAAUAUUUAGUGAAUAAAACUUUAGUGUUAUUUACAUUAACCCAUUAGAUCUGUAUUGUUUGCUGUGAAUAUUUGCUGACACUUUGCAGUUACCUAUGUGUAGGAUUGGCUAUUGUUCCAGAAACCAUCCCCCCCCCCCCUCGCAAAGUUUAACACAGUAGGAGUCCGAAAACAUGCAGACUGUCGCAUGAACAUCUUAUAAGAUAAAGAAGUUCGCUUUUCGUGAUGCUUUACCUGUGUUAAGGCUGUUCUUCAGUACCUGGGGGUCUUUUUCUUUUUGUCCCCAGUUAAUUUAAAGGAUUUUCUGGCUCGGUCAUUUUUUAUACAAAGAUGCACUAUGUCGCCCUAAGGCGAGACUCCAAAUAUAUUGUGACUCUUUAGUGACUGGUUUGCAGAGUAUUACUCUGUGCUUGGAUUUUGGAUCCUAUUUUCAUUAUUUACCUAUAAUUGAAUCAGCUGCCAUUUUGAAUGUUUGUGUGUACACACACAGCGCAGUUCUGUAUAGAAGAGGUGAUAUGACUCAGACCCCACUGUCCACUUUUUAUAUAUUUUUUUUUCAUAGUUUAUAACUUUCCCUUUUAAAAAAACCAAUGGACCUCCCCAGAGGGGGUAAGUCUAAUUCUCCUGUGACAGGGCCGGUGUGUUAGUUAUGUACCUGGCUUGGUGCCCCCGCGAUCCCCUCUCCUGCCCUGUUGUAGGCUGUGAUUGUUAAUGUAUGGCUAGUGAAACAUGGCGUUUGGCUGACGCACUGUUUCAGGUUAUAAGCCGGUGGUAUUCACAUGCCGACGCUGUCCCACAAUGCAUUGCAUUAAACCUAUUUGCUUCCCUGGGUCCAGGCAACUAAGUAGAUUCACCCCAGCUCCAGGGGCUACUCCUUGCCAGAAACCUUCCUUGCCCCCCCACUACUCCAAGCAGCCAUGUUUAGUCUGGGUGGUCUAGUGGCAUAUACAUUGCACGCUCUGGGUAUUCCUCCAUUAACUUCUAGCUUUGUUGUUCUUUAAGAUGUCUGAAGUGAGGGCCAUGGAAGCCGUUAUACAUAGUUGCUGACCUAAAGGGUUACUCCAUACAAAAAAAUGUCUCUCAGCCCAAGAAAAGUGGGAAAGGGAAUGGUUAAAAGUCAGGCCAAGUUAUCCCUGCAGCCCGAUUCUCCUCUGCCGACGUUCCCCCCCCCACCUUGCCGGAGAACAGGGACAUGCUAACGUGUCACCAGCAUGCUGUGUGUGUUGGCGUCAGACUGCUAAUAUGCACAGAAUUGACAUUGGCCAGGAUAGAACUUGUUGUUCCGAGCUGGAUAACGACAACUCAGGGACGCUGCCGGAAGUGGAGUUACACAAAAGUAAAAACGGAUUAACUCUGUAUGUGGAGUGUUUUGCUAUGAAUCGCUGCACAUACAUACAGACCACAGGCACCACAACCACUUCAAAUCACUGAAGUGGUCAUGAUGCUCACAUUAGUCUUUUAAGGCAAGGAGAAGGGGUUCUAGAUGCGAGAAAAAAAAGUUGUGCUAGAAUCACCACUGCAAGCUCUGGCCCAGUGAAUGUCAAGGAUUAACUAGAGAAUAAGGUGAGAUUUACUAUUUGUGCUAAUUGUGUGGACAUUUAUAAAUGGAGAAAAUCAGUGAUACAGGAUCUCAAAAUCCAAAGGACAAGUAAGGGGUUAAUAUAUGCAACACGUUCCCACGGCAGCCAGCAUAAAGAUUGACAUACAGAGGUGACACAAAGUCAAAAUGGUGGCAACGUAUGAUGGCAAAUUCUAAACAAGACCAGUAGCUGGAUGCAGACUAGUCGUUCAACACAGUUAAAGUUAUUCUGUAAAUUGGAAAUUACGGAGAAUUGAUAAGUUUGCAAAUUUUAUUCCAAAAUAGCAGAACCGGAAAAGGUCCCCAAUCCUAUUUUGUCUUUAAAAAAAAAAAAGCAAAUUCCAUGGCCAUUCUCUGUACCGUCCAAUUUAUUGAAUAACACCAUCAGACAAAUUCUGCUCUUAUAAUGAGUGUUGGUUGUAAAUUACCUUAAAUGAGCAGAGCAGGAAAAAUUGAUUUGGAUUUGCAUGGCAAAUGGGCAGAUUCAUCGACCAAUUGAUCAGUCACAGAUUUAAAAAAAAUGAAUUCUCUCUCUAAAUAUGCAUUUGUUGAAUCGGCAGCUCUCCGAGCCUUGCCCCAGUACACCAUAUUUUCUAUCUUUGCAAACUGCCACAAUUUCACAUCCUUGUGCUGUGCAGAGAUGUGUGGGAGAAGUUCAGCCAUAGAAAUGUACAGAAGCAUCGUGAUUGGCAGAGUCACUUCCUGGUCUGAGUAGCGCUCAAUACAGAAGCUGCAAAGCGUGGAGGUUUACAGUAAAUGCAGGAAGCUCACGUGACAUUUUUUUUGUUUCGAAUUAUUUAUUUUUCCAUUUUCAUGGUUUAUUUUUACAUUUAUUUUUGUAACACAUUAUCACAAUGUGGUAAAAAUUAGUGGCUUAAAUCCCAGACAGAGAGUCCAUUUUUAAGGAAACAAACUUCUCCAAAACUAUCUGUAAAGUCAGUUUUUUUUUUCUUAGAAAGUUUAUCUUAAGAGGAGUCACAGAUAAAAUCGUGUUUGCAGACAUUUAUAUUAAUUCCUAGAAAUUAAUUUGCAGAGAAUGUUCCAUCUCGGGUUACACCUGCUGCUGUUUUUCAGUAGAAAAGGAUUUGUGAAGGAUUUAAUUUAUCCUGUUUUCCCGGAGAAUGGCUAAAUAUUUCAGAUUUAAUGUUUUGCAUUCUCACAGGGUUAUUCUGGGAACCAUAAAUCUUUGGGGCAUUCACUGCGGAAUUACAAAUUCUAUGCUAAUGGCCAAACUGGAAAAAUUCAUAGUCCGCAAUGCGUACAGCUCAGCUAUCUUGGCUGUAAAUUCCCCAGUGAAUUCUGACAAUUUCUGUUUAAAAAAAUAAAAGUCUGAAAAAUAUUUUAGAAUUUAUUCACUAAACAGUGUAUUAUAAAACAAACCUCAAAAUUCAGCCUAAAAUAGCCAGACGGUGAUAAUAGCAGCGUUUGAGAAUUUGUCCAAAUCAGAACACGUCUUGCGUUUUGGGUUUUUAAUUCACUGUUGAGUGAUAGAUAUGUUCUUGUUUAGCCAUAAUGAGAGAUUUUACUGUAAUAUUCCCAGAUAUAGAAAGUCGUUAAUCUUUGUCCUCUGUAAAAACCGAUCAUUAAUGAACAUGCGCGAUCUGGUUUUAUUAGCAACUUUUGUCUUCAUUGCAGAAAAUUUUAAAAAGCUGACUUUUAAAAAAAAUACAAUCUUAAAAAAAUUUGCUAUAAUAUUUCUGCAAUUAAAAGAUCGAGGCACAAUUGAAGGGCCCUUUAAGGCGCUGUAAUGUUUACCUGAAGUAACUUUGGAGGUAGUUAGUAUUGGGGGAAAUUUGAGGCUAUGAGCUUCCUGUUUUCAAAAUACCGUGGACUGUAACUCCUAUGACUCUAAAGGAUAGCUAUGGAUCGUGAGAACUAUAGUUUAGUUUUUAAACCUCUGGUGCCAAAGUUCACCAUCCUUCUCAUAUUUGAAGACACAGUGCUGUAUAAUUGGGUACCCACACUGAAUCCGGUAGAAACAUAUUGUAAUAUUGAAUUAAAGAUGCUUUGAGGUAGGUGGUUAAUGUAUACAGUUUACAGCAGCACUUAGUAACUGUGCUUUUAUAUAAUGACUGAAAUAACCAACAUCUGUUUGCGCGCUGUAACCUUUGUUUAUGUGCUAACGUUUUAAUGAGAUCUAUUUAAUUAACUGGGGCCAGGCAACCGUCACCUAUAUCUGUCGUUUUCUUUUUGUACUUUAAUAAAUGCUAUUUCAGCAACAGCAGGACGGUAACGUUUUUAUCGAUAAUUGAAUGUUAAAUAUAAUGAUUGCGAGGUGGGUCUAAAUUAGUUCCUCACUUUUCUUCGCUAUGUACCAGAUUGAGCAUCAAGCGAUGCUCACAAACUCACAGAUAAAAGAAUGGCUAGACUUGCACGUUUGUAAACUCCAAUUCCUGUGAUGCAGGAUGGGGUAGUGGGGAAAUCAACUUAUUCACAUUAAAGGCCAAGCAGUAGCCCCCUCCCCAUAUUUAUUAAGAACUCCUGACACAAAUCGUCGGUGGAUGCAGCGCUCACAGACUCUAAGUACCAUAACAACUACAAUGAGUUGCUAUGGUUAUCUUAAACACUGAUUGGAAGGGAUUAGUAUAGAGCACACAAUUUUAAUUCCAUUCAUUAGAGAGUUGUGAAUGGAAGUGCUUUUUAUUAUUUAUUUUUUUUCUAAUGUAGUUCUGUGUCGGAACACUACACACUCUGUCUGGACUUUAUGUACCUCUGCAAAUACAUGAUCAAAGUUAUAUUUGUAAGUUGUUCUUGGGCAACAAAAUCCAACUGACAGAUUUCAAUGAUGUCUUUGUGGUCUAAAUAUCUUGCAAUGUUCCUGUCUUGUUUGUUAAAGUAACUGAUUUACUAUUUGUUUCCAACAAAGGCUUUAUUUAUUUAUUUAUUCUAUGACGGAAAUAAAAAUGUAUCGUUUCGUACUGUUUUUGAUUACGUAUAAUUUUUGCAAAAUUUGUAAUAAAUUACAUUUUUUUAUUUACAUUGAUGUAGCAAAAUAAUAGAUAUUUGAUCAUUGCAGUUUUGCUCACUUUUAACAGUGUUAUAUAUUGGAAACGUCGUUUAAUGUGCCCAUUUACUUGGAUAUGCCAGUUUUAUUCACCAAAUCGUGAAACUUUGUGUAAAUGCAAAUUUUAGGAUGAAAUAGACAAACUGGAAUGUUACUAUGAUCCAAAUUCAGAAAUUCACUUGUAAUCCCCACUUUGUACUGGAGACGUUUUAAGAAUUGUAUUCCUUACACUAUAGGAUCCCUUUAAUGUGUAAAUUGUUGGAAAUUCAAAACAAAUGUAAAAUUUUUGGCGUAGUUCACUGAACUGACAGCACUUUCCCAUAUCCACUAUUGUAGAAAAAAAUGUUAAGUUGGUUUUUAUUUCUAAACCGUUAAUUUACUUAAUUUUUUUGUAAGGUUCAUUGUCGAGUUGACAUCAGUUUAUAUGUCAAAAUUUAGAUUGAAAUCGCUUAACAGGAAAACCUCUUCAACUCAACCAUAGCCACAGACUGGCUGUUUUGAACCAAAAAUUGACUGUUCUGAUUUUAGCUUGGAAUUCAGUGAAUAACUGUCAGCGUUCACUAAACUGUGAGCUGUUAGUUAAUUCAGAGAGAAUUUCAGAUUUUAUAGCAGAAUUUAAAAAAAUGUUCUCAGUUCAGCGUUUUUUUGUAUCCUCCCUCUUCCCUAAAUGUUGAAAUUCAUUUUUAAUUCCUGAUAAAUUUACAUAUUGGUGAAUAAUGUUGACAUUGCACAGUUUAAAUUUAUAAUCACUAUUUAGUAGACAUGUCCCUAAUGACAACAUUUAAUUUUAUUUAUUUUUCCCUUGAGAGUAUUUCUAAAAACAGCUAGCAAAAUCUAUUUUCUGAAGCCUUUGAAAGCAAUUACUUGUGUGUCUGUCCAAUCACAGACUUCCCAAUGUUGCUCAAUGAGAAGUCUUUGCAAGGCAGGUGCUCUGGGCAAUUUCUGCCUCUUGAAUUUAGCUCCACUGAGCUAACCAAACCAGGAAGUAACAUUACCUGUUGUCUGACAGCGAGAUUGGGUGUAGGAAGGUUAAUCUGUAAAAGUGCAAUUGUCUAAUUUAAAACCUGCAUUCUUAUGUGUAAUGUGUGUGUGUGUCCUGAUUCCAGUAGAGGUUUCUCAGCACUGGAUCUCCUCCUACCGAGACGUCACGGCGAUUGGCGAUACCCAUAGAAAAAAGCAUUUAAUCAAUGGUUUCCUGUGGGGAUUUUCAAGGUGGACGUCCUGUGUUGUUUAACUAGGGGAGGAGUUAACCCUGCAAUGUAAAUAUUAUUGUACUUCCAGAAACUGCAAUAUUUUCCAUUGACGUGGCCUGGGUUCAGUGUCCCUUUAACCCCGCAGUGAGAUGAAGUGGCCUGAGUCCAGGGUCCCUUUAACCCUGCAGUGAGAUGAAGUGGUCUGGGUGCAGUAUCCCUUUAACCCCGCAGUGAGAUGAAGUGGCCUGGGUCCAGUGUCCCUUUAACCCUGCAGUGAGAUUAAAUGGCCUGGGUCCAGUGUCCCUUUAACCCUGCAGUGAGAUGAAGUAGCCUGGAUCCAGUGUCCCUUUAACCCCGCAGUGAGAUGAAGUGGUCUGGGUGCCUAUAGUGUCUCUUUAGUCUUCAGUUCAGCGUCUAUCUUGGUAAAUUGUGUUACGGCGUCUGGAUCUCUCAUAAACACCGUUCGUAUAAAAAGUGAUUAUAAUCAUUUUAAGGGAGUUGUGCUUUGAUCAGGAAACGCCUUAAGAAAAGUUAUGCUGAUGUUUGUUAUUUUUAUGAUGCUCUAUGAGAAUAUUUUUUGUCUCCAGAAAAUCAGAGGAACCAGCAGACCGCAAGAAAAAUGAAGGACUUUGAGGGGCAGCUGUGUUUAACUAACCCAGUCAUAAUGCCCCUAAAAAUCCUUAUUGUUCUUGCAAUAUUCAACCGUCCUCGCAGAAGAACUUGGUGAAAUUUUAUGGUUGUGAAUGUUCUUUGGGGAUGUAUUUGCUAACCACUGAAACGUGAAUUGUAAAUCAGUCAGGAAAAUUUGUGAAAUAUCGUGUAAUGCAAUUUAUGUAUAAUUUAACAUGUACUUUUACAGUUUAUACAGCCUGCUUUGAGAAGACGUAAUGGGAAUAAUAGUCCAUUAGACAUGUGGAUGGUCCCAGAUUUUCUGUGUCUGUCCAAUGCAGCUCAAUGAGAAGUCUUUGCCAGCCAGGUGCUCUGGGCAAUUGUUGCCUCUUGAGUUUAGCUCCAUUGAUUUCAGCAACCAGGAAGUAACAGGAUCGAUUAUCUGAUUGACAGCUAAGGGGGUGUAACAAGAUUAAUUUAGGCAAAUGUCUAAUUUGAAAUCUGCACUUUUACGUGUGACCUUUAAUUUCUUUUAAAUCCGUUUGAAAAAUGAAACAUUUAAAAACAAACCUAUACAAGCAGAUUACGAAGAAAAUGUUCUACAUCUUUUCAUCAAUCUUGACUAAAUGUGUGGAUCAAAGUACCCAAUGGAUAUCAUAAUUUAAAAAUUCUAUGUAUCCCUGUGUGUUCAUCAAAAUUAACUACAGUGCAGUAUAAAAUCUGUGUAUAAGUCCAUGUUAAAGGGUUACUCCAAACACCGCGACCACCCCAGGUAUUUGAAGUAGUUAUGGUCCUUGUAGUCUGCAUAUGCAGCGCUUUGCUUUGAAACCCCCAGGCUGCCAGAGGUUGUAACCACUACUGCGGUCUGUUUUGGCCAUGCUGCCUGGACAACAUUUUUAAGCCAUAUUUUAAACUACUUUUAUUUAUUUUUUCUGAUACAUAUGCAGAUUCACACAGUUCUUGGGGGAAAUCAAAAUCUGCUGGUUAGUUCUUGCUUCGCUUAAAGAAUGUAAACUUUUUUUAAAAUGAUUAUUUAUUUUUUUUUAUAUCCAGAAUGAGCAAGUCUGUGCGUGAAUGCAGGGCAGCUGGGUUUGACAUAACUGACUCAGCAAAACAGGGUCUCGCUAAUCCUCCCUCUAUUAUAGCGUUUCCUUCAGGGCAAUAAGAGCUUGUAAUUUACUUUUAUAAACGGAUCAAGACCUACUGCCAUUUCCUCGGUGUGUAAAGGCAUUUUGCUUUGUACAAUCACUGACGUGAUAUUGAUCUGUCAAUGACUGUAAAUACAUUGUUUGUACUGUCUGGCUAAUACCUUUUGACAUUCUACAGUGGUGUCUGCAGUAAUAUAUAAGCAAACGUUAGAUUCUCAGCUGUUCUAGAAUGCCACCUGUAGCGGAGCUACAAUAUUAAAAUCAAUAUCUCCGCUGGUAGACUGUAGAACAUCCAAGAUAAGCGCAGUGUAGCAAUUUAAUUGCAAUUUCCCCAGUAACCGGACGAUACACAGUUCUGGGAGUCAACUCAUUUUUAUUCUGCCACAGCUGGCUUUUAUGCAACUCCCCAUGCAAGGGGUUUCUUAAAUUACAUUCCAGGGGUUUUUCCCCGGUGGACCUGAGUGGAGACAUGCAAAAAAUAAACAUUUCACAGAUGACUCCUCUGUACCUGGGAGAGUACCUGAGUAAGAACAACUCUUUAAUUACAUUAUCUCCCAGGUACAGAAAAUAUACAAUAUUUAUAAAUGGUAUAAAAUAAAUUUUAAAACUUCAGAACUCCCCAAAAGUUACUUUAUCAAAUAGCUGGAAUCUGAGAGCCCACCUUGUCAAAAUAUCCCUCCGAUCCGUUGGGUGGUUUUGGAACGCCAUUCGAGUAAAGUUCAGACCGGUCGACCAUGAGGUGAAGCCCCAAAACAGUUCCAGAGAUUACUAGCCUUAGACCGGUCUUCUUUCGGGAGUAUAAAACAUAGAAAAUAAUGAAUGAAACCAUUCGUGUAGCAGGGGAUUGUGUGCCCCGUGUUCGGUAGUUUGUUUCAUACGAAUGUCGCUCUUUCCAGGUGAACUGAACCGAACACACGAAGGGGUGGUAGUUCAGCGGUGUUUGCGCCGUCAAGUGUCUGACUACACACCGAUGUCUGUGUUCGUGGACAAAGAUGGCCGCCACCAUGUGUUCGGUCAUAUGAACGACGGCCACCCAGCCAACCGCCUAGAACCUUGCGGUUUUUAAGUGUGAAUAAAGUCAAUUGGAGGCACACGACUCACCUAGGUGGUCCAACUGUUCGGCCAAUGGUUCGGUAUGCGAAGAAUAUAGCUAUGGUCUGUUCGGUGAACCCUAAUUGUCGAACUAGAAAAGCCACAACUAUGAACAGAACAGUCUCUAAUACAAAUAGGUGGCUGGUUCUGCCACAUCACCUAUGCUGUUUUACCAUUACUAAGGCAUCAUGAGAAUCCUACCACUAAUGUGGUCGCCACGAUCUAUAUGUUGGGUAUUCUAAACUGCAAGAAAAUGAAACUGAACUGCUUGCUCUCUCUUUACGUUCCUCAAAAUUGGACAUUUAUAUGUUUCUCUAAAAAGAAAGUUUGAAAGAAAAAAAAAUCUGUAUUUUUUUAUAAUAUAGACCUUAAGUGGCUUUUACAGCACACUGUAUGAAAGUCAGGUUUGUGUGAACUUUAAACCUGUGUGUUAACUGCAUAGAAAAUAUAAACCGAUAACAGGAAAUGGUACACAUUUUAAAAUGUUAUUAUAUCCAACUUUAUUUUUUUUCCAGGGGUUUAUAAUUUGUCUUUAAGUAGAUAGGAAGUAAAACAAUGUAAGCAACAGGAAAGUCGUUUCCUUUAUAUAAAUAACCAUGGAUAUAAUUUCACCUUAAAUCAUAAACAAAUAGGAAACACCUGAUUGGUAUGUAUAAUUUCACAUAUAGGAGUGCACAAACAGAUUACAUAGCAGACAUUAGGUACGUAAACGAGCAAAUAUAGGGUAGAUAUUAUUAUUAGAAUGGAUUCAUAGUUUAUAAAAUAUUUUACAUACAUUGUUCUCUCUCGUUUUCAUAUUUGUCCUGUGGAACACAUAUAAUUACAAUGUUACAUAUACAGUAGAAGAACUACACCGUACAAUUCUAGAUACAUGGUUAAAGGGUCACUAUAGAACUAUAGUCACUAAAACAAACAUGUAUUCCUGACCCUAUAGUGUUAACACCACAAUCUAGCCCCUCUGGGCCCCUCAUGCCUCCAUAAAUAUUGUAAAAAUCUUACUGUAUUCAAGGCUGAAGCUGUAAAUCUGCAUGCUGUUAGACUCAGAAAAACAAUCAGUCUGCUGACAUGUGAUAGCCUGAUCCAAUCACAAUGCUUCCCCAUAGGAUUGGCUGAGACUGACAAAGAGGCAGAUCAGGGGCAGAGCCAACAUGAUUCAAACACAGCCCUGGCCAAUCAGCAUCUCCUCAUAGAGAUGAAUUGAAUUAAUGUAUCUCUAUGAGGAAAGUUCAGUGUCUGCAUGCGGAGGGAGGAGAUACUGAAUCACAGGAUGCUGUGCGCAGUGCUGCCCUGUGCUCUGCUGACAGCAGAUCUGAGUGGAUGGAGGCAUAUUAUGCCUCCAUCAACUCAGAAGUCCCUCUGGUGGUUGACUGAGGGAAGACUUAGAGCUGCAAUGUAAACAUUGCAGUUACUCUGGAACUGCAAUGUUUACAUUGCAGCAGUAAGUGCAAAAGGGUCACAGCACCCUGACUACUUCAAUUAGCUGACGUGGUCUGGGUGCCUACAGUGUCCCUUUAAGUAAUAUAUAGCAGAGACUGGGUGUAUAAUUUAGUGUUCUCUACAUACUAUAAUAACUGUAUAAGUUAUACAGAUGUUGCAUUAUAAUAUUCUAGAUGUGAGAAGAUGGCUGUUCUGUUGAGACAAUGAAAGGCUGAGCCAGGUAUAUUGGGCAUAGGCAUAGCACAUGCGACCCUGAGGUGUGAACAACUGCUGCAGUCUGUGUAUUAACGAACUACGUGAGCAGUCUUGUUGCCACCAAGUUGUAUAUCGAAAAAUCGGUUAAAGCAGCACUGUUGGAGAUUUUGCAUAGUUUGCAAAGACUCCCAAUGGUGGCAUUGCUGCUGGGGGGUAAGUGAGUUCUACUUACCUGAACCUGUUGACGCCCUUCUCUUCCGGACAGCCCUCUGCUGCAGCUUCACCUCCAUAGACCGAGCCAAUUCCAUGAAGCCAUCGCUGGUGCCCCCUACUGCCUCUACAGCCUGCCUCCUCUCCUUUCUAUAUCUCGUCCUCCUCUCUUCUCUCUAUAUAUAUGGCUUUGUUGCCAGUCACGCCCCUCCGUUUCCUAUACACCCUACCCAGCACUAACUGUGCCAGGGAGGGAGUUUACAUAGCAGCCACAGCGCAUCUAUUUUUGGAUGAUUAGUACUUUUUCAAAUAACUUUUCAUUUAAAAACAUUUAUAUAUAAUGUUUCCUUUUUAUGAAAGGGAUCCACAACAGACAAGGAUAGAGAACCCCCUGCGAAAAGCAAAUCCAUCCAUAUUUUAAUGCAGUAUAUUGAGGAUAUUAAAGGGAAAUAAGCCACUUUCUGUGCGGAAGGGAGGGGAUAGAUUUACAACGAAAAACUAGUUAAUACUAACUCUAACACCAAAACAGAUUGACAAAUAAAAACCCUCUGCUGAUUAGCUAAAUAUAACCUGAGCCAGUAUACCCCCUUUUAAAGGGUAAUCAUUGAUAUAAUUUCUAAAAACAAUAUUGCCCAAGUUUAGAAAAAAAAAACAACAACACGCAAAACUCUAACCCUGCAAACCCAUUCACUGCAACAGAAUAUCUCCUCCAACACCAAUCCAGGUUCUCUCAAUUCUGGUCAAUAGCUACUGAUUUUAUCCCAUAAUCUCCCACACAAGCAGAGUUUUGAGAUAAGUAAUUUAUGUCCAACGAGCAGUUCCAAUUAUCACAGGGUGAUGGGAAAUGCUCAAUGAAUCGGUAACAGUUAUUGACAGUUUAAUGAAUUGGGCUGUUAAUGUUAAUGUUUUAGAGAGUGGAGGAUUGCACAUGCAUGGCCUGGGACUCCGCUCCAAAUAAACAUGCAACGUAUACAUAUUGCAAACACAAUAGGAUCAAAAUUAGCACAGGCAACCGAGCAAAGUAUUCUGGGCUGCCUUACUAACCGGCCUUGUUGUUUAUAAGCCAUUAUUAAACACGUAGUGUGGACUCCAGGUACCAUGUACUUUGCAGUAAUGCCAAAUGCUUAUACUGACCCAUUUAUACCCUCCCCUCAUAGUAUGUCUGGAACCUAACCAGUGUCCUUUUAAGAUGACCAUAUUUUUCAGAAUGCGCGCUUGGCAAUGGUUUCAGAGAGCGGCCUUUUCAAUGUUGUCGUGAAAUCUCCAAUUAUAAUCUGUGAUAAGGAAGCUAAAUGUUUGUGCUGUACUCCAAGGAAGCCUAAACAAUAAAGCUUUCAUAUUCGCUGGCACGAAGCAUCACAUGAUGUACCCAGUGGAUGCCGUUACUUUAACCAUUUAUGGGACGAGGUUUAGCAUUUAUCAUUCUAAAAGUAACUUUAAUUGAAGGUAUGAAUUUACUGUACUCAUGGUCUUUAUCAAUUACAUAUUACUGGAUUUAAAGGACCACUUCACACUUACUCAUAAAGUCACUAUUUAGAAAACAUACCCCAAAGAAUACAUGCAUGCAUUUUUCCUCUAUAUCUGUCCCUGGUGUGCAUGUAUUGCCUGUCUGAGAGGCAUGCGCAUGAGACAAGCACACCUGACUAAAGAGCGCCUGCCGUUUCCAUUAGCUCAAGGGAGGUAACGGAUGCAGGUAGCAAACCAUCCAGGCUGUUUGACAGCCUGGGGGUGUUUAUUAUUUAAUGAUAAAAAUGCCUUUUCAAUGGGAUACCCUUCAACCAUAAACUCCUUCAGCAAGCUGGUCAUUUUAAUGUUUCCACAUCUGUUUGUGUGCUUGUGGGCAGGUUUGUCAUACAUUUGCACUCAACGCACAUUACUGUGAGUUUUAUUGCUUUGGAGCUCUGGGAUAUAGCCAUACGCACAGCACAUUGUGAGUCUUAUUGCUGUGGAGCUCUGUGAUAAUCAUAAUAGUCAUAAUAAUAGCAUAAUAUUGUACAGCUUUGUUUAAUUUAAUUUGAUGAACCAGUUAAGCCCCUAAGUAAAUGGACAGGGCGAUAUGACUUUUACAUGCAUACCUCGGCUAUAAGGUUUUGUGAAGGAGAUCCAUCAACGGGUAAAGAGGCAAACAUAUAUAAAUCAAGGGCUCUCAUUUACGUGUGAGCCGGUGUCUGCAUCCAUUGCAGUGUCACCCUCCGAAAACAUGUUCAAAGUGACAGUUUGGCUUUCAUAAUUAAAUGCUGGGGAUUCUCUGUUUAUAUUUGUUACUCCGGUGAUGUGUGACGCUAACUGGUGUAUAAAAUGACGGACAUAUUCUGUAAAUUAUGUAAAUAUUACACUGCUGGUAUAUCUCAAAUCUACACACCUACAGCUUGUUCGUCCCAGUUCUAAGCCCUGCAUUUUACUGAUGGGGUAGUAUGGGGACCCUUACAUCGACACCACCAAGUGUCUCGCUGAGCAUUGUGGGAAAUAAAGCUUGCAAAUAUUUAUUUAGCUAUGGGGUUGUUGUGUUUCUUCAAACUGAUGUUUAACCCUGAUACUGAACAUAGAAAAGGUAGAUUCUCACUUGUGUCUUAAUAUUGAUAUUUUACCUUAACCCUUACUUCCCUUGCACCCACCUGAUGACAUACAGCAUUCCAUUCACUGAACUGGUUUAAAAUUUCAUUUGGAUUGGAAUAAGAUGUGAUUUUUGUCAUGCAAGGUUUAAAGUGUUUUAUUUUAAUGAUUGAAUUGAGAUUAUCGCUGUACAUUUCAUUAAAUCAUACGUGCCAGGAAUGCAGACAGGAUUCUGCGUGUCUGACAGCUGGAAGCCAUUUAUUUAAAUGUCCAUUUAGCACCAAAAGCUUAUUCGGCUCUAUCGGGACAAGAAACCUCGCCAAAAUGUUACAUUUCCUUGGACAGCUGAGACGUCUUACUUUCCAAUCGCAUGGCUUCUUUCUAAACUUAAACAUAUAUUUUUGUAUACAUUUUAUAAUUUUUUUCUAUUUUCAUUUAAAGGGACACACUAUGUAAGAUACUACCUCCAAGUCGUUAUGUGGUCAGGAUGCUUAGAGCUUCCUAGUGCUGCCUCAUUGUUUAAUAUCAAAACAUUUUAGGAACUCUUCUCGGCACACAGGCCCCCAUCUUGGCCACAUUGACAGAAUAGAAUUAACACUUUUUGUAUCCUCAAUAUACAAUUUCAUCCAAGUUGGGCAGCAACUGAUUAGCUGAGAGGGCUGGAACUGUAUGGGUUAUAAUGUUUACAAUGUCCCUUUUUAAAGCAUAUUAAAAAAUAAAAACAAAUCUUCAUUUUAUAUUUGCCUUACUUUUGCAAAACUAAUGUUCUUGGCCUGGAACUCCAGCUCGGAGGGGGUGCCCUGAGCAGAUCACUUUCUGUGCUGCUGUACUGUCCUGGCACGUCAGAAUUGUAAAAGGAGCUCUGGGAGUGAUCUGCUCCCACUGGAUGUGCAGACUACCUCACUGACCAUAACAAUAAUGUGAACACCAGAUUGUCAGAAAUCUUUCUUGAAAUUAUAUUCUUAAAAUGGAAAAUGCAACUUUCCUUCUCUGUCUGCAUUGCGGUGUUUGUGUUUGUCAUCAAGCAGGAUUAUUCACUUUUCUCACUUUCUACCCUUCUCUUUAAGGGUACAAACAUACUAAAAUAUGACGGUGUUAACAAAAAAAGUCAAAGGUAGUGGCAACAUCUGAUAAUUAUACUGUUUUCACUCUGUGAAAUCAUGGGUACAGCAAACCGCCUACCAAGAAGCGGAUUGUAUAAACGUGCCUCGUUACAUUGAGACAAGAGAUUUGUAAAAAUAAUAACUUGAUAGUUGGCACUCGACCAUAUUUCACAACUUAUAAAAAGUUUUAUUGUACAGUUUGAUAUAACUUUCAGGUCUAGUAUUUUGUCUUGAUCGACAUAUGAGCUUAGAGGAGCUACCAUUGAUACUCCCUUAACAAACAUGUUAAUUCCUUGACAAAAAUUGUUCAACGUCACAAAUUGUCUUGUAAUGCAAAUUAUUACUGUUAUGUAUGUACUAACAUGACUAUGUGGCUCAGCACGUCAAAAAUAAAGAAUUUAAAAAAUAAAAAGAGAAAUCAAAGUGAAUUUUGGGCCAAAUUAGCUGAACUAAAAGCAUAGCUGACUUUCAAAAAAAUUUCCAAUGUGGCCUUAAAUUAAAUUCACUUUGCAUGAUCACGUUGGUGAAAAUCCCUGAGAGUGUGAGUUUGCUAUUUUGACUGAUAACGUCCCAACUAUGCACUGUCUAAUGAGCUCUGUUUCUGUAACUGUGUGAUGCUCUAUGGGAUUUAUUUAGCUUUGCAAUUUUGUAUUUUUAGGAAAAUGGGCCCAAUUUGUAUUGCUAAAUUUGUUUGGCAGAGAAGAUUAGGAUUAGCCCUGGGCUAGUCUGAAAAAAGGCGAGACGUGACUGUGCUGCUUUUAAUGAGCCGUUGAAUUUCAAACAUUGAACACGCCACUGGAUUGAAUAAAACACUAUUUAGUAGAUAUAUCCCAUGAAAACAUUAAAAUCUCUAUUUUUAUAUGGGAGCUAUAGCUAGUAACAUCUUGCAAAAGCUACAGAUCUCUUAUCUGCAGCCUUUGCAAAACCUUCACCUUUUCCCAGCACAGACUCUCAGCCUCAACGAGAAGCCUCUGAUCCGCAAGCAAGCACCUGUCAUUACAGUUAGCUCUGUGGAGUUAACGGAAUCGGGAAGAUAACCUUAUGGGCCGUCAGACAGCCAGGAAAGUGUUUCUGCAAUUUCUAAAGGUUCUUAUUUCAAAUAGAAAUCUGCACCUCUUUUCUAAACGGCAAUUAAACAUGAAAAGCUCCUUACGCAUAACGCUCUUCAGAAAGCUGAAAUACUUUUGUGUGUGAAGUCGUCCUCUAAGGACUAAUACAAUUGCUCAACAUCAGAGCAAAUACUAAACCUAUGUAUUUGUGCGAGGAGUUUUACAAUAAUUUUUCUCUGGGGGAAGAAAAUGUCACUAAGUGCAUCCACACUUAACUUGGUGAAUCUGGGGGUAUUUGCCUUUGUUAUUGCCUGGAAUCGAGAUUCUAGCAGCCUACAAGUAGUACUGGCGUGGGAGAGACGGAGGCUCUUCUGGCACGGUACCAGACUGAUUGGAUCUCACAUACCUGCCCUCUCUUCUUUGGACUGAAGGGGUUUAUCCAGAUUCCAGGCUUUCCCAAACUCAGCCUCCCAACCCCCAGAUGUUGCUGAACUACAACUCCCAUAAUUCUAUGAAUGAAAUAGGCUGAGAAUCAUGGGAGUUGUAGUUCAGCAACAUCUGGAAGGACAGAAUUUGGGGAUGCCUGGCCUAUGCAGAGAUGGAAACGGGAGACUUGAGAGCAUUAGCCAUUGCUUCCUCAUUGUCCAGGUUCAAUAACAUGUUUUUUUAGAAUUCCUGUCUCCUAUAGCAGGACGGCAUCCUCCACAGAGUUACCGUGUGGUGGCAAAGAAACCUACUUUUGGGUUUGUGGGCACAGCUAUGGUGGGGCAUGUUGUAAUAUCUACUACCCAGCUGGAACCCUCUAUAGAGGCUGACUACUCGGAACUUAGCUUGUGGAUAUUGGGAGCUGGGCUUGGACUUGCCUUUGGAGAGACUUUGUGGAAUCUAGGUGCAAUGCUAAUGCAGGCCACAUUCAGCAAAAUCAGACAGAAUGGGGAUGGGAUGAGGCUAUCGCUGGCAGUGUGGUUUUUGAUUACUUAAUUUAGCUACUAUUUUCACAGUAUUUGUGUAUUCACAUGCAUCACUGCUCAGCUCAAUACUGUAUCUGUCAUGUAUAGAUAUAGGGAGAGAUAUAAUAGAUAAGUAAUAUUAGUCCAGUAGACAAGAUGCCAAAAUAACCAGUAUUGCUUCAGAGAUGGGGGGGGGGAGAAUCUUGAGAGUUAAAAAAAAAGAAAAAAAGGUAUCAAUGCAUACAACAAUACUCUGGUUGUUUUGGAUAUAUAUAUAUAUAUAUAUAUAUAUAUAGUUGAGCCCCCUCCGACUUACCAUUUUUUGCACUGAAGGGGCACUCUAAUCUUGAUAACUAUGCAGCUGCAGGGGACAUAGCCGACCUGGCACUAGGAUGGUAGCAUCAACCCGCAUUCCUAAUGUUAUAGUGUCCCUGGAUUUUUACUUCCAGCCUCUUUCCAUUACCAAGGUUCUCUGGGCGCUGCUUAGCUCCCCUCUCUAGUGACAUCACGGAGGAUGCAUGGCCUCCUCUGCCGAUGAUCCAAUCCAAUGUUCCUCUUAGAGAAGCAAGGGGGUCCUAAUGGGCAUGUGCUUUCAAGCUUUCACCAUAGAAAAGCUUUGAAUCAAUGCUUCCGAAGUAAUGUAGAUUGUUUACAGCCCCCUAUAGCGUGAGGACGUUCAAUGUCUGACAGCAGAGUUUUACUCCACUAAAAUCCAGGAAGCACCAGUUAGUGGCUGUCUGAGAGACCGCCAAUAGAGGAGGGAUUAGCUAAAAAAUUUUUUUAAAAAUCUACGGUGGUUCAUCCAAAACUGCACUGUUGUUCUUCACAGGGCUAAAAUGACAGAGCCAAGGCAACUAAAACACUUUUUAUUAAUGUCCCUUUUUUAAGCGGUUUUGAAAAACAAAACAAAGGAAAAAAAUGGUGAAUGUUGUUGGAUUACUGGUUAGGGAAACUAGUUUGUAAGACUGAUAGUGUAAACACUUAUAUAUCAUUAAAUAUCCAAAUACAAACUAGCUAUUAAAGUCGUUUGUAAAAGGGUUCUUGAAGUUGAUGAGGAGGAUCACAUCCCGUGUGUGAUGGCAUUGAUUGCACUUACUACAUGAAAUCACGUAAAGCAGUGUUUCUUAACCUUUUUUACAGAGAAUUACCCCUGCAGAUCUAAUUUUUUUCCUAAAUACUCCUGCCUUGAGAGAGUCAUUUCUAUUGAUUUUAAAUUCCAAAUAAAACACGUAGACACUGAUAUUUAGAUUAAUCCCAUAUUGAACUAGCCUGAUUAAAGGUAGUAAUGAAAAUGUAUUUUAUUAAUAUAAAUGACAUAAUGUGAAUAUUGUGUAUGAACUAUUAAUGUGAAGUAUAAAAGUCACAAAAUAUAAUACACAUAUAUUUGUUGCACACAGAGUACAUACUCACCGACAGACACUCUGAUUUGACACACAGUUACACAGAGGACACUGACAUACUCACUGAUUUAACACACACAGACAGAUGGCCUUACUGACACACACUCACAAAUUAUGUUUUUAUUAUUUUUAUGUCCACCAGCUUUCCUACCUUUGGGAGAGGUGGAGUGGAUCCUUAUUGUGGGUUCCCUGUGACUGCUGUCAUCUUUGUGCUCUUCCAGCACUGCUCUAUUGCGCACUGUAGUGAUGCCGGGGUAACGUCAUAACCCGGCUGCGCGAGGGAGCAGUGAUGGAAGAUCAUGAAAGGUACAGCUCCAUUCUCCCCCACCGGCCGCCUCUUGGCGUACCCCUUGCCUGUGGUGCACCUACACCCGGUUGAGAAACUAGGACGUAAAGCAAUACAUAGAUUUAGUGCGGUAUGAGUGUUACAAUUAAGUAGUGUGUAAUACUUUGUAACACACGCCACCACCCCCAAGUAUAAAAAGUGCCAGUAGUUCUAAUAAAAGGCUGUGCAGCAUGCAGCUUUUAAAUAUAUUGCUCCACUGCCCGAGGAGCCAGCAUGCGAUUAUGGUGAUUAUGGCCAAUCAUCUUCCAAGGAGUCUACAGUAAUGUAGGAACCCAACUCCAAAAAGAAAUGGGAAUAUGGGAUUGUUUCCCAGUGAAUUCAUAAUGGACCGUGUCCAAUACAUCUCAUAAUCUUGUGUUUACUGUGGGAGGAUGACAGAAGAUGUUGCAUUUAAGAUGCUAUUCUGCACGGUUCGCAUCCUAGGGGGGAUUAUGGGGAGAUGCUGUAGUAAAAGGUCUUGUAAUCUAAUAGCACUAUUAGAGUCUAGUUCUUGAAAACACGGUGUAAUGUCCCAUAGAUGUGUAAUAUUCGACCGAUUUCCAAUUUACUCUUUAAUAUACAUCUGGUAAUAUAACUUUCUCCACAAGCCACAGCAGGCCAUAACCACCAAACUAUAUCUAGAGGAUUUGAUGUUCGUGGCACUAUUAUCCACGAGACCAGAGUCAUCUUGGUCAAUGACUGCGUAUGAGCUGUGUGAUACCAUCAAUGACGCUGCCUGUUGCCCCAACUGUUUAAAUACGCAUGUGAGUACUAUAAUGAACUUGUCCUUUGCAGUGUUAUCUGAACAGCCUUUAUUAAUUAAAAUUAUCAACCCCCAACUUCAUUACAUCAAACCACAAACCUGCUAUAUUCGGUCAAGGAAACUGGAAUACACAAGGUUGGUUUUUAAACAAUGUGUCUCAAGACAAACUUGGUAGGUCAAGGAAGUACCUACAAACAUUUUACGAAAACUUUUCCUCUAAUUUGUUUUAAUUUUGUUGUCCUAAGAUUGUGCUGCCAGCAAAAAAAAAAGUAUUUACAAUAGGUCUAUUCUGCUCAAUAUACAAAUCUCUGAAUAGACCUGACUCUUCCUGUUCUCUGUAACAUGUCGACCAAAUCCUAGCAUGAUCAAAGUAUUCCCUACCAGAUUUGCAAUCCUAAUAAUGUCCUUGGGCUAAUGGAGACAGAACACCUUGUACUCGGAUUCCUUGUUUUAACAAACUGCUGUGUUGGAAGGACCUGUGAACUAUAUCUGCUGGUGUAAAAAUGGGUGGCCUCUUGCGAGAAGUGCCCUACAGCUGUGUUAAGGUGGAAUUGCAUUUAGAAGUCUUCCUUUUAAAAUGUUUGAACUUGACAGACAAACUUACUCCUGAGCUAAUACUGUGAUCAGGAAUAACGGUUUUCACUCUGGUAAGGACAUUCUCGUGUGAGCAUUGUGACAAUAUGUCUAUCUAUCCCACAGAGAGUCACCUUGGAACAUUGCAGUAUCCAGCCGAUUCAGAUAUACCAAACUGUGUUCAGAAUCCAUUAUAGAUGUCUUUGAAAAAUAUUAAUUUAUUUUUGUGUUCUCAGGUAGAAAUCUAAAAUUAGGAAGGUGAUCACCUUGCUCUAUAAAUGAGUAAAAGAGGUAAAUCAUACAGUCUUUUAUCCUAUGGGAGGAAAAACCUAACAUUAUAUGCAAACCAACCUGGAGCUAGUUCAGUAAUUUGGAUCCCCUUACCUGUUCUAAUUUGGGAUUAUAAAAGCCCAUCUCAAAGGCAGAGCAGAUAUGAUAAAUACAAGAAACGUGUGUAUCUUAGCAGUGAUUUUACUUAUAGGUUUACAUCAUCCACAUUCUGCUCACGAAAUCAUUUAAGAAGUGAAUCGUGUCAGGUGUUUUUUGUGGCUUUUUUAGAACGUUGGUAUAUAUUUAUACCUUGAAGCCCAGUUGUCCAUGCAUACUUUACAUUUUGGCAGUGGGAGGUUUAGGAUUUCACAAAUUUACUAUCUGACACUUUGGGAUCCUGUGUCUGGGUGGGUGGGGGUGGGAGAUGAAGGGGUGCACAGAACGAAGAGAAUCUCCAUGUGUGAUAAUUUGGCCACCAACUCCGACAUAACGUAAUGCAUCCUGUACAAGGAUUGGGCUCUGUGUCCUCAGGAGCAUGCACACCUAAAUUUAGCCAGAUAAUUACAGGAUGAAUUUCGUCUUGUGAUGUUUCAGCCAUACCUCGGGUCAGGAGGGUAACUACCUGAAACAGGAUCAUCGGUUCAAUAUUAGAAAGGCCUAAAAACUAUCUCAAAUGGUCUUGUUAGACAGGACAGGAGUGAGAUACUGAUUAGUUGGACAGGACUAUAAACAAACCACUAUGCAUACACUCUCUAUAUAGAUAGACUGAAAGAGACAAACAGAUUAGAUACAGGCAGAUCUAUAGUUAAAGAUUAGACAAACUAUAUAGAUUAUAGUCAGAACUAGACAACUGUAGACAUAGAGCUAGGCCAACAGAUCAAGAUCAGAGAUAGACAGAUUAGAUACAGAAUGAGAGAGAGGGAAUCAGGCAGACAUUUGAUACAUACAAGCUAUAUAGAUGGAUUUGAUAAACAUAGAGGUGCAAAGUUUGUUGGACAAAGAAUGAUAGUCCCCCUGAACGAUCGCCACAUACAGCUUUGUGGAUGUAGAUUGUUAGAGCUAUAUAUCGUAUCAUGUGUUCUGUGUUUGUGGUAAAGCUUGGUCUUUUCUAUCUCUGCAGCACCUGCGCUCCGUUUAAAGAUGGAAACGUUACGUAAAUAUUCAUCAAUAGGGCAGCUGGCUUACAUUGAGGCCAGGGAAGUCCGUAUACAGAAGACUGAAGUUCGGCACAUCCUUAAUCAGCAAACCUCGCACCAUGCAUUUAUUAGAGUGUGGGAGAUUCAAAUAUCCACCUUCAAGAUAUUGCAUUGAACGGUUUAAUAGUGAUCCUGAUUAAUUGGCUCAGAAAAACAUACAGGAACAGUAGCAUUAGUAAACACAAAAGACCAAUAAAGUGUUGUGGUGUUUUUUUUUUUUUUUUACAUCAAUGGACUACUCUGUGUCAUGGCUGCUAUUAUCCCUGGCAAGCAUUGGCGAGGAUCUAUAGUUAUCUUGAAAAUAAUCCAUCAUUAUAGCAGAUAAUUAAUACUAUUGUUCUAUAUCAUGAUAAAAGGAAAAACAGUUCCCACAAACAUAUAUACGGUUUUGAACACAAAAGGUAAAAUAUUAUAAAUUCUUGUCAUAUGAUGGAGAAUUAAAAAAAUUGGGGUUUAUGCCUGUUAACUGUACUUCCCUGUGUUUCUUAUUUAUUAUUCCAAAUCUAAGUUUAUAGUAACAAGCCAAAAGAAAUAAAAAAAAAAACAAUACAAAAGAAUAUAGGUUUCGGGAAUUCUGUUCUCCCGAAGGCAGGAAGGGGGGGUGCAUUGUUCUCUCUGUGCUAUAACUUGCAAAGUUGUUGUGGUGUUAGAGAGAUCAUUCAACCAUUUAAAGCCUAAUAAUGUUCCAAGCAUAUGGUAAUAUGAAAGGAUUUUUCUAACCUGUGGUCUUUAUAAGAUUAAAGAGAACACUAUAUAAUUAUUUGCUCAGGAUAUCCUCAGCACCACCAUUAGAACAGUUUAAGAUCGAUAUCAGCCACCCCCUCGACCCUUGAAAAGCUAAAUGUAAAAUAUGAGAGAUAUCCUGAGUAUUUAUAUGAUACAGGUUAUCCCCACGAUGCUGCAAAAUCCUGACCUUUCCAGAUUAGAUCCCCUAUUUUUAUGCAUUUGAGAAAAGGAUUUAGACUUUUUUUUUCUGUUCUGCUUACAUUUUGGUAAAAGGCAUUCUACGACGCAAAGAGAUACUUGACAUUUUAUCUCUAACAGAUUGGCAAUCAUCAAACAGCAAUAUUGCAUGGAAAUCUUUGGUGACUGAAAUAAAGAAUUGUUAAAACAUAAA